CCUGACUGCUAUCGGAUUGAUACUAAGCCAUGUGAGUCAUUGCAGUAAUGCAAGGCAGACGGCUCAGUAACACGUAGUCAACCUAACCUAUGGACGGGGAUAACCUCGGGAAACUGAGGAUAAUACCCGAUAGAUCAUUAUGCCUGGAAUGGCUUAUGGUCCAAAUGAUUCGUUGCCAUAGGAUGGGACUGCGGCCUAUCAGCUUGUUGGUGAGGUAGUGGCCCACCAAGGCUAUUACAGGUACGGGCUCUGAGAGGAGAAGCCCGGAGAUGGGUACUGAGACACGGACCCAGGUCCUAUGGGGCGCAGCAGGCGAGAAACCUUUGCAAUGUGCGCAAGCACGACAAGGUUAAUCCGAGUGAUUCCUGCUAAAGGAAUCUUUUGUUAGUCGUAAAACCACUGAUGAAUAAGGGGUGGGCAAGUUCUGGUGUCAGCCGCCGCGGUAAAACCAGCACCUCAAGUGGUCAGGAGGAUUAUUGGGCCUAAAGCAUCCGUAGCCUGUCCUGUAAGUUUCCGGUUAAAUCCAUUUGCUCAACAAAUGGGCUGCCGAAAAUACAAACAGGACUAGGGAGUGGGAGAGGUAGACGGUACUCGGUAGGAAGGGGUAAAAUCCUUUGAUCUAUUGAUGACCACCUGUGGCGAAGGCGGUCUACCAGAACACGUUCGACGGUGAGGGAUGAAAGCUGGGGGAGCAAACCGGAUUAGAUACCCGGGUAGUCCCAGCUGUAAACGAUGCAGACUCGGUGAUGCCCUGGCUUGUGGCCAGUGCAGUGCCGCAGGGAAGCCGUUAAGUUUGCCGCCUGGGAAGUACGUACGCAAGUAUGAAACUUAAAGGAAUUGGCGGGGGAGCACCACAAGGGGUGAAGCCUGCGGUUC
This 876-nucleotide ribosomal RNA is filed under the name uncultured crenarchaeote. RNAcentral describes it as "bacterial SSU rRNA". It matches the Rfam family "Archaeal small subunit ribosomal RNA", at positions 21 to 903 of the family's 1478-position model. Lineage: Archaea; Thermoproteati; Thermoproteota. The record is from RNAcentral.